GGCAGGGAGACAGAAGGCACAGGAUUUGAUGCUGCUCUGUCGAAGUUGGGGGGCCAGGCUCCUGUUGUGAGGCCUGGGGUGGGCAAGCCUUGGAGAAGAAGGAAAAUGCCACACUGGAGCCCUUAGGUCGAGUCAUGGCUUCACACCAGGGGAUGCAAAGAGCAGAGUAGUUUUAAGAAAGGCUGCAUCAGAAUCGGCAGGCUGAACUACAGUUCCACAGGAAUAGUCAGGCCAGUGUUCGAUGCAGAGGAAAGAGAGAAGGAGCCAUUUAUCAAUGACCAGGACUGAGCAGCUGAAGCAGUUGUUCUCCUUGAACCUGGAUGACCAUGAGCUCAGAGCACAGCUGACCAGACACCUCUCCUAAGACCCACACUGACCAUUAGUGCCAGUCAGGUAUGCUGUGAGCACAGAAACACAUUGCUGACUCAGCCAGCACAGCCCUCUGCCACUAAGCCGAUAAUUUAUGUACAUGCUUAUCCAAUGGAUCAUCACUAACUGAGCCAGCAGGGGAGUCUAGCUUGACCGUGUGGAAGUGCCGUCCACUGUCACGGACUCCUACGCACUGGCUGAUACUCCAUGGGAACCUCCUGCUCCAGGUUGGGUGUAGCAAGGUGAAGAGCUAACCUGAGAAUCCAGUGAGUCUUCCUGCAGGGACACAAGGAACCAUGAAGCCCAUUGCCUCGUCUGUGCACACAAAAUGAAUAGAAACUGAAACCAAAAUGUUCCUGCAGGUGAAAUUUGAAGUUGGA
RNAcentral lists this long non-coding RNA (749 nucleotides) under Heterocephalus glaber (naked mole-rat). RNAcentral's name for it is "lncRNA (ENSHGLG00000048722.1)". Lineage: Eukaryota; Metazoa; Chordata; Mammalia; Rodentia; Bathyergidae. The record is from RNAcentral.